Molecule: ribosomal RNA, 467 nt
Filed under: uncultured bacterium
Lineage: Bacteria
Description: bacterial SSU rRNA
Rfam family: Bacterial small subunit ribosomal RNA
Source: RNAcentral
CUGGCGGCGUGCCUAACACAUGCAAGUCGAGCGAGAUGAGCCCUUCGGGGUGAUUCUAGCGGCGGACGGGUGAGUAACACGUGGGUAACCUGACCUCAAAGAGGGGGAUAGCCUCCCGAAAGGGAGAUUAAUACCGCAUAACAUUAUUUCUUCGCAUGAAGAGAUAAUCAAAGGAGUAAUCCGCUUUGAGAUGGACCCGCGGCGCAUUAGCUAGUUGGUGAGGUAAUGGCUCACCAAGGCGACGAUGCGUAGCCGACCUGAGAGGGUGAUCGGCCACAUUGGAACUGAGAUACGGUCCAGACUCCUACGGGAGGCAGCAGUGGGGAAUAUUGCGCAAUGGGGGAAACCCUGACGCCAGCAACGCCGCGUGGGUGAAGAAGGCCUUCGGGUUGUAAAGCUCUGUCUUCUGGGACGAUAAUGACGGUACCAGAGGAGGAAGCCACGGCUAACUACGUGCCAGCCGCAGC